UGUGACCUUAUUUUCCCAUCAGGAUUGCUCUGAACUCACAUAGUUUCUGUAUGGAACACUCAAGUUUUCUAGUCUAGCUGCUGGAGACAGCAAUAUGUAGAUCUGAUGUUUGGAUACACCAAGCUCCAUAUGAGUCCAGCAGGGACAACUGGCCCCCAUGUGGAGGAGAUUUCUCCUUCUAUCAGUUCAGAAGACACCAUGGCGUUCAAUUCUUCUGGCACCUUGGUUGAGUGGCAGCCAAACUCAAAAACUGUGCAAAGAACUUAAAGACAUAGUAAUAAAG
This is a long non-coding RNA of Gallus gallus (chicken), 283 nucleotides long. The record is from Ensembl. NCBI's taxonomy places the organism in Eukaryota, Metazoa, Chordata, Aves, Galliformes, Phasianidae.